GGUUCCCAAUAUGAUUUCUUUCCCUGCCAGGCAGUCAACAAACUGACUUGCUGUGGCAAAAGAAAGGUCGGAGGGCAAUGAAGACAAGUGUGCUCUGGGAAGCAAGCACAGACCCUCCUAGCAUUUUUCCUCUUUUCCCAACAGCAAGGUCAAGAUUUGCUUGCCUGCCCGACCUUCUGAGCUGUCUGUCCUUCUGAUUUUUUUGUUCUUCAAGCUCAGAAAUUCCUAUGGUAUUACAUGGAGGCACCAUCAACAUGACAAUUUUAUGUCCUCAGACUCCUCAUGGGGAAGGAAGCCAGGGCACCCACUAGGAUCUGACGGCAGCAGUGGCACCUUAAGCAUGACAGCCAAGCAAAGGGCUGCGUGGGCUGGGACCCAGAUAAUGGCAAAAGAAGAAAGAUCCAGAGGAAAAACCGGUUGAGGGGCUGAGGAGAGAGAAAAAGAGAAGAUGAAACCGUCAAACGGUGUAGCACCUCUGAAGCCAAACUUGUGCGGAUCAUUUGAGAACGGAGCAAGUGGGGGACUGCACUACUUACAGAGGGCAUUUUGGGUGUCCCCAUCAGGGAAGCUGUACCCUCUUUCUUAGAGGAAAGGAUAAAUCCUGAGACCUGGGCUGAAGUUGGCCAGUGGGCAGGGAAACGGCCGAUCGAGUCACCGAUUCAAGCUUUUGUUCUAGAUUUCCGUGCAUUUGAAACAAUAAUAAGUCAUAAAAAGCUCAAAGCUGUGGGGAUAGUUUUGGGUUACAGUCACUGUGGUGACCAAAUGCUAGCAUGGUGAAAGUGGAAGUGUAAGGAAGACCCACAGGGACCCCAACUUUGCUUUUAAGAUCCCUUCACGCGGUGGAUCUCAAGAACAGCAGGUUUUCGGAGGAGCAGCUCUCCUGCUGCCUAUAGCGUUUUUUGUUUUUUGUUUGUUUUUUUUUUUUCAGGUACCACAAAGCCACUAGCGCAUAGGGCCUCAGAAAAGACGGCAGGAGCUCAAGGAAGACUCCAGUUUGUACAGACCUGCCCUGUUUCCCUCAGAGAGUCCCUGGGCAAGGAGACCGCCACCCCAUACACACCGUUUUAGAACAACCAGGUUCCAGACUCCCAUGAGGAGCAUUCCCCAUUGCACAGCCCCAGCCAGCCGCGCGUGGACUCUCCAGGACUGGCGCAAACUCGGGGCCUCCAAGACUCGGCUCUGGGAGGCCUAAGUGACUCGGAAGCCGGCGGCCGGCCGCAGCAGCGGCGGUGGUGGGAGAGCUUUCUUCCCCGACAGUGCCGCUGCUCGCUCUUCACUGGAGCUGGAAACAGCCUUCGCGGGAAGGACCGGAGCGUGCGUUAGAAGCAGAGGGAGCUUGGAGAAGGGCUCCGCCGGAAGGUGGAAACUCCUCGCUGUGCGCGGCCAGCUUGCGGGGCACACCGGCUUGUUGGACUGCGGAACCCGCGCCACCCAAGAAGUGACCUGCCGGGGCGGUGGGCAGCCGCGGGACGGCCCGGGGAAUUCCGUGCGGCUGCGACGUGAAAAGGACGCGGGGUCUCUGUACCCGACGCUGUCACUGACUGAAAGGAAUUUUACCCGCGGACGCCCACCCCCACCCUAGCUGGAUGCUCACGCGCGCAACAAAACAGGAAACCAGCACCGGGCAGUGCAUUCUUUAAGUCAACAAAUACACUGAAGAUAUCGAGGGUUUGAAGGAAGUAGGGGGUUUGCACAUAAGCCUGGUCCCGCCGGGCUCGGCUUUCUCGCUGAGAAAGCGGCGCAGGCAGCCAGGCGGCCUGGGCCCGCGGGAGUCCAUCUCGCUGUAGACACCGAAGAACUCCCGCGGCCCUGUUCCCAGCUGCGAAUUCUUAAUGCACAACGCGACGGAGGGAAGAAAAUUCACCAGCGCAGCAGCUAGGCAGGGGAACUCAGGACCCCUUCAAGUACACACUGAGGUGUGAUCAGAGUUUUAUGGGUACGUUAUAUGCUGUAAUCAUAACGAUGUGUGUGCCUUGAUAUACACGCACAUCCAUGCAUCAAACGUGCAUAUCCACACACAGUGAAUAAGCACAUGCAGUGUCAUGUGGGCGAAAUACAGGCGUCAUACCCAGCCCUAGGAAAAAAAUUCACCCUGUCUGACCAGCCUGGUGACAUACUUCGCUGGCUCAUCUCCUUACUCAUUCUGAUUUUUCCGACCCCUCACCAUACCCUCUCCUGUGGCUUUAUCAAUACACCUGUCCCCCGUGGAAGGUGAGUCCUGGACUGUCGUUGCCCGGUUGGCCUGUCCUCCCCAGAACCUCCGGCUGGCUCCGGGGACCCUCGCCGAGCGGGUCUGGAGCACCCGACACUGUUCAAGGAGCAGCCGCCGUUCCUUUGUCCCGCGGCUCCCGCUCCAUUCGGCCCAGCUCUCAGAGAAACGAAGCGCUCAGUACGAACUUUUGAUACUAGUUUUUAUGGGUAUUUACACUCUGGCGAGGGGAGCUGAGUACGGAAGCUCCAUUAAUCGGCCCCAACCUUGGGUUUAGAUAUUCAGUUUAUGGGUUAGGAGAGGGAGUUUGCCGGAAAGAAAGCAUCAGGGAUGGCCACUGACUUCAGAGAAAUGAAAAGGGAGCUAGGUCGUUUUCUAUUUCUGGAAAUCAAGAAUUAGGAAUGGGCAACUACAGGUGCUAACAGACCACUUUUUUUGGUUCUUGGUAGCCCUUUGGCAGGGAUAGUUUUUCUACUGUUGCCCAAUACAUUUU
Non-coding RNA from Callithrix jacchus (white-tufted-ear marmoset), 2702 nucleotides. NCBI's taxonomy places the organism in Eukaryota, Metazoa, Chordata, Mammalia, Primates, Cebidae. The record is from RefSeq and is a predicted model, not a curated record.